CAAACCUUAGGUGGAUAAAUGCAAUUUGCUCUUUCUAGAUCUGGUUUCAAUUUUGAAUGGAAAUAAUCAGCAGCUUGGCUGAAGCUGAAUGAGUCUCCCUGUUCAGUUCCUUUCAACCCCGCUGUUGAAGUUGGACUUUGAAUUUAUAGACUCUAGGGAAGCUUCUAAUAUAUAUAUGUGACUCAUGAUCUGGAUCUAGGCACAGUGAAUUUGUUGAAAAAAUUAUGGCCCCCAAGAAUUGGAAAUUUAUUUUUAUUGCUUUCACAAUUCUGAAGGUGCUUGUCGUGCUUCUGAUCAUAGCCUCAGAAUGGUCUGCAAGCAAAUUUGGAUGGGCUUUGGAGUCUUCAGUAAUGGGUCGUGUACAGAUUCGGAAUAAGCUUUUGCAGUUUCACUGGUAGGACUCCAGGGAAUACUUUUGACUGCUGAUCGUCCCUGGAAUUACAAAUUUAAUUACAAUCUUCACCAUUCUGGUUGCUUACAUUUGGAAGCUGACCUGGGUAAUUAUUUUUUCUGAUAAUAUUUUAUAUAUUUUAUGCUGAAAGAGUGCCAAUCAUGUUUGUUCAUUGAAAAUUCUGAUGUAUCUGAAGAGUUGAGGAUCUUUCCUAAUGUAAAGAGAGUGAAAUUGGAACUCAACAAAUACAUUACAAAUUGUUGUUCCUGCCAAUUGUAGUUCUGGAAAGUCACCUCCAUGAUAUGAUGAAGCACACCAUCUGUUUGCCUUUAGUCUGAA
This is a long non-coding RNA of Mangifera indica (mango), 730 nucleotides long. RefSeq lists it as uncharacterized. Lineage: Eukaryota; Viridiplantae; Streptophyta; Magnoliopsida; Sapindales; Anacardiaceae. The record is from RefSeq and is a predicted model, not a curated record. The transcript is spliced from 2 exons.